Molecule: long non-coding RNA, 290 nt
Filed under: Medicago truncatula (barrel medic)
Lineage: Eukaryota; Viridiplantae; Streptophyta; Magnoliopsida; Fabales; Fabaceae
Description: long non-coding RNA (MTRU_LNC002421)
Source: RNAcentral
UGAGGUUCAAGAGUACAAUGGAACACUCUAUGGUGGCUCCCUGCUUGCUUCUUAUGCAAUCAUUUUUACUCCCUAGAGUUUUUUACUUGUUGCCAUCUUUGUAUGGCUAUAAAAUAAAAUUACCUAAGGACUAAAUAAAGAAAAUUACCUAAGGACAAAAUAAAGAAAAUUACCUAAGGACUAAAUAAAGAAAAUUAUUGAUCAUAUAUAUAUAUAUAUAUAUAUAUAUUUUUUUUUUUUUGGUACAAAGUUAUUGAUCAUAUUAUACACCCGCAGUGGCACUCAAAAAC